Molecule: ribosomal RNA, 320 nt
Filed under: uncultured eukaryote
Lineage: Eukaryota
Description: partial 18S ribosomal RNA
Rfam family: Eukaryotic small subunit ribosomal RNA
Source: RNAcentral
CCCUUAGAUGUUCUGGGCCGCACACGCGCUACACUGAAGGAGGCAGCGUGUACUCCUGGAUCGAAAGAUUUGGGUAACCCGCGAAUCUCCUUCGUGCUAGGGAUUGAGGUUUGCAAUUAUCCUUCAUGAACGAGGAAUUCCCAGUAAGUGCAAGUCAUAAGCUUGCGCUGACUACGUCCCUGCCCUUUGUACACACCGCCCGUCGCUCCUACCGAGUGGGUGAUCCGGUGAACUAUUCGGACUCCGGUUAUUCCAGCAUUUGGUUUUGCUCGGGAAAGUUUCGUGAACCUUAUCACUUGGAGGAAGGAGAAGUCGUAACA